This 253-nucleotide ribosomal RNA is filed under the name uncultured bacterium. RNAcentral's name for it is "partial 16S ribosomal RNA". It matches the Rfam family "Bacterial small subunit ribosomal RNA", at positions 524 to 776 of the family's 1533-position model. The record is from RNAcentral.
UACGUAGGGGGCAAGCGUUGUCCGGAUUUACUGGGCGUAAAGAGCGUGUAGGCGGCCACGCAGGUCCGUUGUGAAAACUGGAGGCUCAACCUCCAGCUGUCGACGGAAACCGUGUGGCUAGAGUCCGGAAGAGGAGAGUGGAAUUCCUGGUGUAGCGGUGAAAUGCGCAGAUAUCAGGAGGAACACCGAUAGCGAAGGCAGCUCGCUGGGACGGUACUGACGCUGAGGCGCGAAAGCGUGGGGAGCGAACAGG